GCCCGUUUCCACUUGGGAGAGAAAGAAACGAAAUGCGAAUGCGACAGCACGCACCGUGGCAGCGCCCGGGCCGGGGCCACGCGCCCAUGCGGAUGGCGCCGCGCUUGCGGGCGGCGGCGCUGGAACCAGCGCUCGUGCGCGAGUACGGCGGCGGGGGGCGGCGCGGGAGCUGGUGCUCGCGCACGAAGCAGUCGUUCGGACGCCGUCUGCCCCGCGGGUGGUCACCAGUGCCCGCCAGCUGUUCGCUCUUUUGCCCCAGACGGGCAAAAACUAGUUACGUGUGGAAACGGGGUUGACACCUUACCAGAACAAGAUCUGAGUCUCGCAAGAACUCUAGCUGAUGGGUAACAUACAUGACUGUCUUAGAGGACAUUAGUCUCAAUUGCUCAUGUUUACGUACCUUGAAGAGAUGUGCGCUGGUGUGCGCAUCCACAGCACUGAAGGGGUCAUCCAAGAAGUAAACAUCAGAAUCGCUGUACAAUGCCCUGGCAAGCUGGAUCCUCUGCUUCUGGCCUCCACUUAGGUUCACACCCCUUUCCCCUACUACAGUCAUAUCUCCAUUGGCCCAUAACUCCAAAUCUCUAUCCAAGGCACACCCUUGUAGCACCUCUUCGUAUAAGCUUCUGUCCAUAGCCUUCCCAAAGAGCACAUUGUCCUGAAUUGUCCCAGUUUGAAUCCACGCACUCUGAGGGACAUAUGCCCUUGAUCCGACAACCGUUGGUUCUGCACCGCUAACCCUUGGAAUCUCUCCCAUGAUGCUGUAAAGGAGGCUUGAUUUGCCUGAACCAACUGGCCCACACACUGCAACCUUGAGACCCUUCCCGAUGCUCACCUUGCUGUUGAUCUUGAGUGUUACCUUUGUUUUCUUCGAGCUAGUAUCAGCUUCCCAACUGUACUCUCCUGGUUCAAUUACUAUUUCACCAGCCAUUGCCAAGUCCUUUGUUCCAGUUAUGUUGCCAUAGCAACUUGGCUUACCCUGGUGGUCUUCUUUGAUGAACUCUUCUAUUCUAUCCAAGGACACCUUGGUUUGUGUGACCAUUGACACAAGCUCUGGGAGGUUAUAGAUCGGGUCUUGGAGGAUUCUGAACGUGGCAAGGGCCGAUAAAACUGUUCCAGCUGCCAAUGGUAUCUCCACAAGAAUGCAGACACCGAAGGUAACGACCGAAACCAACGUUGGUGAGGCCCAGAACAGGAAAGCUAUCGCUGAGCACUUGUAGAGAUACUUCCUGAGCCACCCCUUUUCCACAUCCCUGAGCUUCAGGAGCUUGUCCAAGUAGGCUGUCUCCCAUGCAUGAAGCUUCAAGAUCCUCAUGCUCUUCAUUGCCUCGGCCAUAGCCUUGAUGCGCGAGUCCUUCGCCUCCAUUAUCUUCAUAUUAAGGUUCUGCUGCGAAUUUGCCAGUGGUGUGUUGCUCACCAUCACCAGCACUGUUACGAGGACUGCAGACAGCGAGGCCAUUGCACCGAGACUAUGGUACAGGAUCGCAAGUGCCAAGAAAAUUUGCAAGGGCAGCAACCAAAUCCCAUGGAUGUACCAGAAGAACUCACCAACCUUCUCGACGUCAACAUCAAGGAAGUUCACAACUUUCCCUGCAACUGGGCCCGAGUUCUUCAUCAGCAGGGACUUCUUGUAGAUGGACACCAUCAGUGCUGCCCGCACCUGGAAUCCAAUUCUGCGGGCGCCAAAGUACCACUGCCGCUGUGAGAGUGACUCCACUGUCUUGGAGGCAAAGAAGAGGCAUGCAAGCAUGUAUCCACGGCCAUGGCCCUUGUCAGUUUUCUUGUCAGAGAGUAGCUCCACCAAGUAGGUGAUCAAGAACGGUCCCAUAUAAGAAGAAACAGUGUUGAGCCCUGGUAAUGAAAGCCAGUUACUGUAUUAAUAGAUUUCCAGGACAAAUACUAGCUCUAUUAUUGGAAACAGAAGAAGAACUGUUCACUAACCUGCAAAGACUGCAUUGGUGACCAGAGGUGUCCAGACAGCACAAAUGAUGGCUUCCCGCAGUGGCAUUGGCUCAGGUUUCUGCUUGUGGAGUGUCUCUUGAAGCAAGGCAUACGACUGCUCUGCCGUCUCGGACUGCGGCACAGACGGGAUGUGUUCCAGCUCGAGCCUCACCUUGUGCCCCUUCUCGAACACUGGGUUCAGCCACCGGAAUGUGAGCCGACUCCACCACCCCGAGCUAGAGAACCUGUCCCUGCUGCUGUCAUCAGCAUCUUCUCUAUGCAGUAGUGGCUGGUCCAGCUCUUUCUGGUUUGCUUUGGAAAGCCUCAUAGCUACGACAACCAGGCAGAUACCAGUGCAGAAGGGAAGAGAAGCGAAAUCAACGACGACAGUUGCAGAAUCAAAGAGGCAAAGCAAAUGCAGCGAGGCGAGGAGCGAUUCCGAUAGGAAGCUGAAGAACCACCAAGCAACAAGAACUGGAGGCCAGUUGGAUGAUACUACUACUGCAGCACCUUCAUGCUUGCAGUAGAGCAGGAAGAGAGUAGCCAGAAGCCACGAGGAAGAUUGAAAUACCAGGCCCGGGGAGACGGCUUGCCGCUUCCAGACCCCAAGAACCGAGAACACGAUAUGGGACAGCGUGAUCGAAGCAUUGCAGAAUGCAACUAUACUGGCUGCCCCUCCUCGCUGCGCCGAGACCACGUCGCCGCCAUGCCCUGCUGCUGCUGCUGCUGCUUGGUGCCUGUUCCUCCGUUUCACAAGCUCUGCAAGGGUCCAAACCAGCAGGCCGGCGAACGCUGCUGCCCGGACGUAGUCCAAUGCUUGCAAUUCCUCCAUGGGAUGCUGGGAAUCAUGAGAAGGUGGCAUGGAGCUGUGGAACACCAAGAUGGCAACGAAUUGGCCUGUUACAUUGAGGCAGGACAGUGAGAGACAAACUUGGGCAAAAUAAGCUAAGCAGUGCGUGGUGGGAGGGGACGGGCGCUAACCAAAAGUAGAGCCUGACUGACAGCACGUGGCUUGGCUUGAGAGGCUAUGUACGCGUACUCGGGAUCGGCAACGGCAUCAAGCCUGCCUUGCGCUGGUCUUUUUCAAGUGGCGAUGCUAGUGUUUACUGCCUACCUAACACAAGGAAGAAGAGAGAAUCAAAGGGCACAUAUAUUGAGAUAGUGUUAGGUUUUGCAGCAUGCGUGCAUCUUGAUUGGGCAAUUUAUUCCCUCCGUCCUACUAAUAUAAGAGCGUUUUUGACACUCUUAUAUUAUGGGAUUGAGGGAGUAGCUUCGACUCUUUUGGCAUAAGCAGGAGAAAGGUCGGUAUCAGUGUCUGUCCGGAUAACGAAAGAUGCACCAACUAGGCAACUAGAGCUGGUCGCGGCGUGGAUGGAGUACAACAACUAUUGUUCUUAUCGGCCAGCCCCAAAGCAUAUGGAAGAUGGCCCUAUAUAAUAAACAAACACAAAAGCAUUGGAAAUAAGUCGAGCCUCGGUGUCGAAAAAGCUUAACUCCUGUACUCCUUCACUCCAUGAAGAAAUAUAAGAGCAUUUAGAUCACUACUCUUAUAUUUCUUCUUCACAGAGGGAGUAUCAGCGAAGAAGAUGAAGAAGCAAAUAUCCAAAUGCCACUGAUCGAAAGCACGACAGGGCAGAGACCCGGGGGGACGCCCGAUCCAAAUUGCCCACGGAGAGAGAUAGAGAGGAGGAUCAAAUCCGGGCGCGGCGCCGGACCCGAUCUGGCCCGGGCAUCUCCAUCGGUGACGGGUGGCGGUGCAAGCGGCCAACGGCGUACUGCUCAGACGCGGAACGUGCAUGCAUGCGCUGCGGCAGUUGCAGGACGAGCCCUUGUGCCGUCGUCUACCCCCAUGGCACGCGUGUUCCCCCAUGGCUUGGCAUGGGCAAUGGCCAAUGGAAGAGGGGCCGAUGCAGCAUCCAUGUGAGUAAGCGGAAAGUUACCAUCACUGCCGUCGAUUUAUUUAUCCUCGCGCUCGCUGGCACUGGCAGGAGGAAGGCGGUGAAACUUGAUCGACCUUUGUAUCCCUGUGAACGUACGCACACGUCGCCCGCGUGUGUGGUGACGUCGUUGAUGCGAGCGCAAAUCCCCCACGAUUUCGAUCCGAUUCGACUGUGAUGGCCGUCCCUCCCUCCCCGGUGUGCGCCUCUUUCUGAAAAAAGCUUCCUUAAUGGGGCCCGCCACAUGGCAGGAGCCGGGCGGCAAGCCCCCGUCGCGUGCCAGUCACACGCCAAGCGGCUAUCCAUGCACGCCGGGAGUCCUUGCUGACCCCUCACGUUCCCAUAAUCCCAUUGGA
Long non-coding RNA from Triticum aestivum (bread wheat), 4231 nucleotides. RefSeq lists it as uncharacterized. The record is from RefSeq and is a predicted model, not a curated record. NCBI's taxonomy places the organism in Eukaryota, Viridiplantae, Streptophyta, Magnoliopsida, Poales, Poaceae. The transcript has 4 exons.